RNAcentral lists this ribosomal RNA (391 nucleotides) under uncultured bacterium. RNAcentral's name for it is "bacterial SSU rRNA". It matches the Rfam family "Bacterial small subunit ribosomal RNA", at positions 29 to 419 of the family's 1533-position model. The record is from RNAcentral.
AUUGAACGCUGGCGGCGUGCUUAACACAUGCAAGUCGAUCGGUAACAGGUGUAGCAAUACAUGCUGACGAGAGGCGGACGGGUGAGUAAUGCUUGGGAAUCUGCCUAUUAGUGGGGGACAACCCGGGGAAACUCGGGCUAAUACCGCAUACGCUCUACGGAGGAAAGCCGGGGACCGCAAGGCCUGGCGCUAAUAGAUGAGCCCAAGUCGGAUUAGCUAGUUGGUAGGGUAACGGCCUACCAAGGCGACAAUCCGUAGCUGGUCUGAGAGGACGACCAGCCACACCGGAACUGAGACACGGUCCGGACUCCUACGGGAGGCAGCAGUGGGGAAUAUUGGACAAUGGGGGCAACCCUGAUCCAGCGACGCCGCGUGGGUGAAGAAGGCCUGC